CCUACCGUUUCCUGGCAGAGACCAGGAGUGCUGUUCCAAUCUCUGUUAUAUAGGAAGGCAGAAGGAAAGGGUUCUGGCUGCCUCAGUGUCAAGUCUAACACCAGUGGCUUCCCAUCUGCAGGUUCUAUCUUCAAAAAUCAGACUAUAU
Small nucleolar RNA from Cavia porcellus (domestic guinea pig), 148 nucleotides. It matches the Rfam family "Small nucleolar RNA SNORA57". From Rfam's summary of the family: U99 belongs to the H/ACA class of snoRNAs which are thought to guide the sites of modification of uridines to pseudouridines, the target for this family is unknown. Lineage: Eukaryota; Metazoa; Chordata; Mammalia; Rodentia; Caviidae. The record is from Rfam.